AAUCAACGCUGGCGGCGUGCCUAACACAUGCAAGUCGAACGCGAAAGGGGAGCAAUCCCUGAGUAGAGUGGCAAACGGGUGAGUAACACGUGGGUGACCUGCCUUCGAGUGGGGGAGUAACGUUCCGAAGGAACGCUAAUACCGCAUGACAUCCUGCUCUUGGAAGAGCGGAGAUCAAAGCUGGGGAGUCGCAAGACCUGGCGCUUGAAGAGGGGCCCGCGCCUGAUUAGCUAGUUGGUGGGGGUAACGGCUCACCAAGGCGACGAUCAGUAUCCGGCCUGAGAGGGCGGGACGGAC
Molecule: ribosomal RNA, 297 nt
Filed under: uncultured bacterium
Lineage: Bacteria
Description: partial 16S ribosomal RNA
Rfam family: Bacterial small subunit ribosomal RNA
Source: RNAcentral